UACGUAGGUGGCAAGCGUUGUCCGGAAUUAUUGGGCGUAAAGCGCGCGCAGGCGGUCCUUUAAGUCUGAUGUGAAAGCCCACGGCUCAACCGUGGAGGGUCAUUGGAAACUGGGGGACUUGAGUGCAGAAGAGGAAAGCGGAAUUCCACGUGUAGCGGUGAAAUGCGUAGAGAUGUGGGGGAACACCAGUGGCGAAGGCGGCUUUCUGGUCUGUAACUGACGCUGAGGCGCGAAGGCCAGGGGAGCAAACGGG
This 253-nucleotide ribosomal RNA is filed under the name uncultured bacterium. Its description in RNAcentral is "partial 16S ribosomal RNA". It matches the Rfam family "Bacterial small subunit ribosomal RNA", at positions 524 to 776 of the family's 1533-position model. The record is from RNAcentral.